GAUUAAAUGGCUGAGGUAUAAGCGGUAGAUUGUAAAUCUAUAAACGAAAUUUUUUUUUCUUUAAUCA
RNAcentral lists this transfer RNA (67 nucleotides) under Coboldia fuscipes. Its description in RNAcentral is "tRNA-Tyr". It matches the Rfam family "tRNA". Rfam says of the family: Transfer RNA (tRNA) molecules are approximately 80 nucleotides in length. Their secondary structure includes four short double-helical elements and three loops (D, anti-codon, and T loops). The record is from RNAcentral. Lineage: Eukaryota; Metazoa; Arthropoda; Insecta; Diptera; Scatopsidae.